UGCAGAAAGUGUGUUAUGUUGGGGUUUUUCUCUUGUUGGUUGUUUGGGUUUGGACCCCACUCCCUUCGGGAGCCCCUCGGUGGGGCGGGGGCUGAGGUGGCCCGACGCAUCGCGACCCCCGCCCGUCCCCCCGGGGGCCGUGUAGGUGCACCGGGGGGCGGCUAGCGGAUCCCUGCCGCUUUAAAAGUGCAGGCCAGUAUUGGCCCGGGCGAGCAGCUAUUUCCUUGUCACAUGGUCAUUUGAACGCGACGCGGGGCCGUUGCGUAGCGGAGCGAGAAAAAAAAAAAAAAAAAAAAAAAGCGGAUCUCGUCUCCCCCCGCCGGUAACCGAAACGGGGAGUAACCCUAACAACAAUGCUAAUAAAGAAGAGCCUGAAAUGGUUUCUCUUGGACCGAGUCCGAUUUCAAGCCUGGGAAAUGUGGAGAAAUCCAAGCCCUGGAGCCGACGCUGCUGCCAGAAGAAAAGGUGCCUGUGGAAGCUCCCAUGGCCGAGCAGGAUUACAUCGGGGACCCCCAUCCUCCCACGAGAUAGCCUCCAAAGUGCUCGGGAUUUGUGCUGGGGAACGAGCCCAGGGCUCUCCCGCUGUCCCACCUUGCUUCCCCUUCUGUGUCCUUGUCGCGCAGGACGUGUCAGCACGGACCCGCGUGGGGUCCGGGGGUGGGUGUGGGGCAGGCAGCCCCACAUAAUUGAUCUGUUCCCCGCCCCCCUUCCUCCUUCAGCAGCACAGCCGUUACAACCACUCGCUCGCUGUUACAACGGCUCGUUUUUUUCUUCACCAAACGCCACCUUCGAGCAGCUUAGGAAACCCUGGGACCGAGCUCGGAUAUACGAUUUUAAAUUUUCAGUUCCACACCGCCUUCAUUGUGCAACCGUCAUGGUUUCUUCAAAAUACUGUUAAAUUCACAGCAACUCGGAGGAGGUCACCUGCAAGUUGGUAAAACACUUAUUACUUCAAGCGAGGGCGGUAUUGGGCUUGCGGAGACGCCAAUCGCUCUUUAUUUUCUCCUUCUAUGUCCCAUGUUUACGACCUUCGUGAGAAGAGCCAUGGAUGCGCCACGGGCCCAUGCAGAGACAUGCACAGCAUCUUACGCGGUUUUAAGCAGUGUUUGGACUACCAUGUCAAAAAGCGGGGCGUGGAGGGUGUCAAGCGCAGGAAAACAUGCAGGCACGUGCUAACUAUAGCGUGCAAACCGAUACAUAUCGCGCUGGUCCUUCGUGCAUCCGAGCAGCGAAACGCCACCCGCGGAUUUUAGAAGCCCCCCCGCAGGUAUGGGGAUCGCUACGGAAAGGAACGGAAAAUCCGCAGGCGAGGCCUAGAGAUCGGCUCUGGAGGCGCCGCGAGCUGCGGAGAGCACGGACCUCGCAGGAACGCCGCGCACCGGAGGAAUCCCUCCUCCUCCGCGCCGCGGGACACAGCGGGGCAAGUGGGACAGAGCGCCGCUGGAGCCCCGUCGGGGCCGGGGCGUGCGGGCCCGCACCGGGGGCCCGCUCCGCGACAGGAACCGGCAGCAGGCGCGGGGCAGAGGGGCCGGGGGAAGGGGCUCGCCCUUCUUCGGGCGCACCCCCGCAGGAACCGCUCGAGCAAGUCCCGACCCGCUUUGCAACGGCCGCCGCGUAACCGUGCCGGUGGAGCAGCUCCCGGGGGCUGCCGCCGCUCCGCUCUCUCACCCGGGACGCUUUUCCAAGAAGGUCCUUAGAAAGGCGAAAAGCGUGUGUAAGGAACGCUCCCGCCCCGCAACGGGACGUCCGCGCUUCCCUCGCCCUCCGGAGGGACUCGAAACGCACCUUCAGCCUCUACGUCCCUGCCCAGCGCUGCACUAAAACGCCCGGGAGCCCCCUCUUCUCGGGGUCCCCGUACCCCGAAGCUCCGUUGCUCCCAGCGCACCCGGCAGUGCUACAGCGCCCGGGCUAAAUCCCUGCUGCGUAAAGGUGCAGAAAAAAAACAUGUCGGAGGUCGGCAUCAGAUACGUGUUUCGAGUGAAAUGCUGCACCGUCAUUUUGUAGGAGAGUUUCGCGAACACCGGCCCUAAACCCCAAACAUAGCUUCUCGGGUUAUUCCCGUUUCAUUUUAUUUUGAAAACUCAAGAAGCUGGCUAGAGCUAUCUCAGAAAUUAAUUUAGCUUUAUAAAUGUGUAUCUACUGCUUCUCCGGGCACGGCAUCUAUCCAGGCGUUCAUGCAACUGUGAAACGUGGGCAGACUGAGCCCUCCCAGAUGGACUCCUAGCUGCUUACCUGCAGGGUCUCCUGGGCAAGGCUAUCGCGACCAGAUGCUUCUGGCCUUAAGGGUCAGCGAUCACAAUGUAUCGUGAGAGUCAGUGAAUAUGCUUUUUCUCCAUGGGAGAGCAAAAUCGCUAACAGACGUAUAAAGCAGAAGAUGAGGUAUGACGAAAGAGUAAUUCUUUCAGAAAAGGUGCCUCGUUACUCUUUAUUGCACGUUUAUUGCGAGAUGAGCAUUAAAGUUCUCGGUUUUGAGUCA
Molecule: long non-coding RNA, 2476 nt
Organism: Falco peregrinus (peregrine falcon)
Lineage: Eukaryota; Metazoa; Chordata; Aves; Falconiformes; Falconidae
Exons: 6
Source: RefSeq, a predicted model, not a curated record